This 491-nucleotide ribosomal RNA is filed under the name uncultured bacterium. RNAcentral's name for it is "partial 16S ribosomal RNA". It matches the Rfam family "Bacterial small subunit ribosomal RNA", at positions 29 to 507 of the family's 1533-position model. The record is from RNAcentral.
GUGAACGCUGGCGGUAGGCCUAACACAUGCAAGUCGAACGGCAGCACAGUAAGAGCUUGCUCUUACGGGUGGCGAGUGGCGGACGGGUGAGGAAUACAUCGGAAUCUACUUUUUCGUGGGGGAUAACGUAGGGAAACUUACGCUAAUACCGCAUACGACCUACGGGUGAAAGCAGGGGAUCUUCGGACCUUGCGCGAUUGAAUGAGCCGAUGUCGGAUUAGCUAGUUGGCGGGGUAAAGGCCCACCAAGGCGACGAUCCGUAGCUGGUCUGAGAGGAUGAUCAGCCACACUGGAACUGAGACACGGUCCAGACUCCUACGGGAGGCAGCAGUGGGGAAUAUUGGACAAUGGGCGCAAGCCUGAUCCAGCCAUACCGCGUGGGUGAAGAAGGCCUUCGGGUUGUAAAGCCCUUUUGUUGGGAAAGAAAAGCAGCAGGUUAAAACCCCGCUGUUCUGACGGUACCCAAAGAAUAAGCACCGGCUAACUUCGUG